Non-coding RNA from Myodes glareolus (Bank vole), 163 nucleotides. The record is from RefSeq and is a predicted model, not a curated record. NCBI's taxonomy places the organism in Eukaryota, Metazoa, Chordata, Mammalia, Rodentia, Cricetidae.
AUACUUACCUGGGUUGACAGAUCCCAUGGUUAAGAAGCUGGCUUUCUCAGGAAGAAGUGCAUCCAUUACCUUUUAGAUGUGCUGACACUGUGAUUUCCACUAUUGGAGAAAACUUAACUUGAUAAUUUGUGGUAGUAGGGUACGGUAAUCAUGCUCUCUUCUA